Molecule: ribosomal RNA, 248 nt
Filed under: uncultured Muribaculaceae bacterium
Lineage: Bacteria; Pseudomonadati; Bacteroidota; Bacteroidia; Bacteroidales; Muribaculaceae
Description: partial 16S ribosomal RNA
Rfam family: Bacterial small subunit ribosomal RNA
Source: RNAcentral
UACGGAGGAUGCGAGCGUUAUCCGGAUUUAUUGGGUUUAAAGGGUGCGCAGGCGGCGCGUUAAGUCAGCGGUAAAAUUUCGGGGCUCAACCCCGACGAGCCGUUGAAACUGGCGCGCUGGAGUUGGAGAGAAGUACGCGGAAUUCGUGGUGUAGCGGUGAAAUGCUUAGAUAUCACGCAGAACUCCGAUUGCGAAGGCAGCAUACCGGCGCUCAACUGACGCUCAUGCACGAAAGCGUGGGUAUCGAA